RNAcentral lists this ribosomal RNA (2144 nucleotides) under freshwater metagenome. RNAcentral describes it as "bacterial LSU rRNA". It matches the Rfam family "Bacterial large subunit ribosomal RNA", at positions 1 to 1983 of the family's 2925-position model. The record is from RNAcentral.
AUAAAUUAAUAAGUGCAAAUGGCGGAUGCCUAGGCACCAGAAGCCGAUGAAGGUCGUAGGAGGCUGCGAAAAGCCUCGGGGAGCCGCCAACCAGGCUUCGAUCCGAGGAUUACCGAAUGGGGAAACCCGGCUGGAGUAAUGUCCAGUCAUUUCUCUCUGAAUAAAUAGGAGAGUCAAAGGUAACGAGGGGAAGUGAAACAUCUCAGUACCCUCAGGAAGAGAAAACAACCGUGAUUCCGUUAGUAGUGGCGAGCGAACGCGGAAGAGGCUAAACCAAUCAUGUGCCAAGCCGGCAGGCCUUGCAUGAUCGGUGUCGUGGGACUAAAUGAAAUUAACUGCCGUUAAUUUAACAAGUCAGAAAAUAAUGAAAUAGAUGAAGGACGUGGGAAAGUCCGGCAUAGAAGGUGAGACCCCUGUAGUCGAAAUUUCAUUAUCUUGUUUUUAGUAUCCCAAGUAAUACCGGACUCGUGUAAUCCGGUAUGAAUCUGGCGGGACCACCCGCUAAGCCUAAAUACUCUCUGGUGACCGAUAGUGAACAAGUACCGUGAGGGAAAGGUGAAAAGAACCCCGCAAGGGGAGUGAAAUAGAAUCUGAAACCGUUUGCAUACAAACCGUUGGAGCUGCCUUGUGCAGUGACAGCGUGCCUUUUGAAGAAUGAGUCUACGAGUUAGUGUGAUGUGGCAAGGUUAACCCGUCGAGGGGAAGCCGUAGCGAAAGCGAGUCUGAAUAGGGCGAAUAAGUCGCAUCAUCUAAACCCGAAGCGAGGUGAUCUCGCCAUGACCAGGUUGAAGCGCGGGUAAGACCGCGUGGAGGACCGAACCCACUAAAGUUGAAAAUUUAGGGGAUGAGUUGUGGCUAGGGGUGAAAGACCAAUCAAACUUCGUGAUAGCUGGUUCUCUCCGAAAUGCAUUUAGGUGCAGCGUCACGUGUUUCUUACUGGAGGUAGAGCUACUGGAUGGCCGAGGGGUCCUACAAGAUUACCAACGUCAGCCAAACUCCGAAUGCCAGUAAGUGAGAACGUGGCAGUGAGACAGUGGGGGAUAAGCUUCAUUGUCGAGAGGGAAACAACCCAGAACAGCAACUAAGGUCCCAAAGCCUGUGCUAAGUGGAAAAGGAUGUGAAGUCGCAUAGACAACCAGGAGGUUGGCUUAGAAGCAGCCACCCUUAAAAGAGUGCGUAAUAGCUCACUGGUCAAGUGAUUUCGCGCCGACAAUGUAACGGGGCUCAAGCACAGCACCGAAGUUCUGUCAUUCACACACUAUCCCGGUCGCAAGAUCCAGGAGUGUGGAUGGGUAGGAGAGCGUUGUGUAACUAGUGAAGCGGCGGAGGAAUCCAGCCGUGGAAGUUACACAAGUGAGAAUGUAGACAUGAGUAGCGAAAGACGGGUGAGAAACCCGUCCACCGAAUGACCAAGGGUUCCUGAGCUAGGCUAAUCCGCUCAGGGUAAGUCGGGUCCUAAGGCGAGGCCGACAGGCGUAGUCGAUGGACAACUGGUUGAUAUUCCAGUACCCGCAAUAAACCGUCCAUGACGAAUCAAUAAUGCUAAGUGUUUGAAGUUGGCUAGCAAUAGCUGAUGGAGCGCACGACCCAAGUUGUUAGUAGUCAAGCAAUGGAGAGACGCAGGAAGGUAGUCCAACCCAGGCGAUGGUUGACCUGGGGUAAGAGUGUAGGAGGUUCUGUAGGAAAAUCCGCAGAACAAUCUCUGAGACUUAAUGCCGAGCCGUAAGGCGAAGUGGAUGAUCCUAUGCUGCCAAGAAAAUCUUCUAGCGAGGUUUAUAGUGGCCCGUACCCGAAACCGACGCAGGUGGUCAGGUAGAGAAUACCAAGGUGAUCGAGAGAAUCGUGGUGAAGGAACUCGGCAAAAUACCCCCGUAACUUCGGGAGAAGGGGGGCUAAUUUUUGUGUAGAGGUUUACCUUCGAAGCAUAAGUUAGACGCAGAGAAUAGGCUCAAGCGACUGUUUACCAAAAACACAGGUCCGUGCGAAGUUGCAAAACGAUGUAUACGGACUGACGCCUGCCCGGUGCUGGAAGGUUAAGGGGACUGGUUAGCUCUUCGGAGCGAAGCCGAGAACUUAAGCCCCAGUAAACGGCGGUGGUAACUAUAACCAUCCUAAGGUAGCGAAAUUCCUUGUCGGGUAAGUUC